GUGCUCACUUCGGCAGCACAUAUACUAAAAUGGGAAUGAUACAGAAAAGAUUGGCAUGAGCCCUGUGCAAGGAUGACACAUGAAUUGGUGAAGCGUUCCAUAUACUA
This is a small nuclear RNA of Octodon degus (degu), 107 nucleotides long. Lineage: Eukaryota; Metazoa; Chordata; Mammalia; Rodentia; Octodontidae. The record is from Ensembl.